AAUAAGCGGAGGAAAAGAAACUAACUAGGAUUCCCCAAGUAGCUGCGAGCGAACCGGGAAGAGCCCAGCACUGAAUCCUGCGAGCCCCGCGCUCGCGUGGAAAUGUAGUGUUUGGGAGGAUCCGAUCAUCUCGUCCGAGCACGCCAGUCCAAGUCCCUCUUGAAAGCGGCCACUGCCCACAGAGGGUGCCAGGCCCGUAGGACGGUGGGUCGCUCGGGCGAAAGGAUCUCUCCGUAGAGUCGAGUUGCUUGAGAGUGCAGCUCUAAGUGGGUGGUAAACUCCAUCUAAGGCUAAAUAUGACCACAAGACCGAUAGCGAACAAGUACCGUGAGGGAAAGUUGAAAAGGACUUUGAAGAGAGAGUUCAAGAGUACGUGAAACCGUUCGAGGGUAAACGGACGCUAUCUGGAAAAUCGAUGCGAGAGAUUCCGCCUCGUCGUGGGCGACGUUGUGCCGAGUCCUCCGAUGGCGCGGCGUCUCGUGGCGCCCGCGCGUGCCUGCAUCUCGCGGUGCCUCUCGGGGUGUCCGGGGUGUUGCGUGCGCGCGGUGUCGUUCGCGGUCGCCGCACACGGCAUGCGACUCGGUGCUCGUCCCCGCUGGGGUGGCACUUCUCUCGCGGUAGUACGCCGCGACUCGUUGGUCGCCGGUCCAAGGCCUGUGCGAGGAGCCGAAUGGGUGUCUGUGGUGUGCACUCGCCGCUUGCGGCGGGCCGUGCGCUGCUUUCCCCCGCUCGACCGCGCGGUGUCCCGACCGGCUCGGUCGACGGUAGCAAAGCGAUUCGAAAAGUACCGAGAGCUCUCGGGCUCUCGGCGGACCCGUCAAACGGUCACGUAUCGCGUCUGCGGCGCUCUAUCCAGACCAGCUUCCGACCCGUCUUGAAACACGGACCAAGGAGUCUAACAUGUGCGCGAGUCAUUGGGAACGAACGAAACCCACGGGCGGAAUGAAAGUGAAUGUGUCGUGCUUGCGCGACAAGCGGGGAGAUGCUCGCCGUCCUAGCGACGCGCGAGCCGCAUCCCCGGGGCGUCUCGUCUCGAGUCGCGCGGAUCUCUCGGGGUUCGCGCCUCUGCGGGCGCACCCAGAGCGUACACGUUGGGACCCGAAAGAUGGUGAACUAUUCCUGGCCAGGUCGAAGUCAGGGGAAACCCUGGUGGAGGACCGAAGCGAUUCUGACGUGCAAAUCGAUCGUCAGAGCUGGGUAUAGGGGCGAAAGACUAAUCGAACCAUCUAGUAGCUGGUUCCCUCCGAAGUUUCCCUCAGGAUAGCUGGCGCUCGGAGUAACGUUGUCUAUGUGCGGGGCGACCCGGGCGCGCUCGCGCGCCCGUGCAGUCGCCCCCGCGAACACCAGUCUCAUCUGGUAAAGCGAAUGAUUAGAGGCCUUGGGGUCGAAACGAUUGCAACCUAUUCUCAAACUUUAAAUGGGUGAGACAUUCGACUUGCUCGAAUGCGGCGCUUGCGCCGCUGAAGUCGAACCUCGCAGGAUGAAAGAGUGCCAAGUGGGCCAAUUUUGGUAAGCAGAACUGGUGCUGUGGGAUGAACCAAACGUCGAGUUAAGGCGCCUAAAUCGAUGCUCAUCGGAUACCAUGAAAGGAGUCGGUUGCUCAAGACAACAGGACGGUGGCCAUGGAAGUAGGAAUCCGCUAAGGAGUGUGUAACAACUCACCUGUCGAAGCACCCAGCCCUGAAAAUGGAUGGCGCUCAAGCAUCGUGCCUAUACUCGACCGUCACCGGCAAAUGAGGUGUGCGCAUUGUGCGCCCCCUCACGAAGUCGUGACGAGUAGGAGGGUCGCGACGGUGUGCGUCGAAGUGUUCGUCGCGAGGCAGCAUGGAGCCGCCGUCGGCGCAGAUCUUGGUGGUAGUAGCAAAUACACUAGCUGGAAUCCGGUGGACUGAUGUGGAGAAGGGUUUCGUGUGAACUGUUGUAGCGCACGAGUGAGUCGAUCCUAAGCCCCAGGUUAAUUCCGACGUGAUGGUGUCGUACAACAUAUGCGCGAUCGACACUAGCCGUGUUGACACCGUCGGGCGAAAGGGAGCCCGGCUCCAAUUCCGGGACCCGGCAGCGGAACCGAUCAUGCGGGCCAUCCGUCGCGUGUACGUGCGCACGGACCUCGUCGGGGCAACCCAACAGGACUCGGAGACGCCGUCGGGCGGUCGAGGCAGAGUUUUCUGUUCUGCAUGAGCGUUCGCGUUCCCUGGAAUCGCAUAACGCGGAGAUAGGGUUCGGGACGCGAAGAGCACCGCACUCCCCGCGGUGUCUCGACGCGCACGACGGACCGUGAAAAUCCGAGCGAGGGCCACGUGGAGGUGUCGCGCCGGUUCGUACCCAUAUCCGCAGCAGGUCUCCAAGGUGCGGAGCCUCUAGUC
RNAcentral lists this ribosomal RNA (2363 nucleotides) under Oemopteryx vanduzeea. Its description in RNAcentral is "eukaryotic LSU rRNA". It matches the Rfam family "Eukaryotic large subunit ribosomal RNA", at positions 45 to 1888 of the family's 3401-position model. The record is from RNAcentral. Lineage: Eukaryota; Metazoa; Arthropoda; Insecta; Plecoptera; Taeniopterygidae.